RNAcentral lists this transfer RNA (71 nucleotides) under Agrilus planipennis (emerald ash borer). It matches the Rfam family "tRNA". Rfam says of the family: Transfer RNA (tRNA) molecules are approximately 80 nucleotides in length. Lineage: Eukaryota; Metazoa; Arthropoda; Insecta; Coleoptera; Buprestidae. The record is from Rfam by way of RNAcentral.
CCUCUCGUAGCUUAGUGAUCAGAGCGUUGGCGCGUAAAGCAAAAGGUCCGGGGUUCGAUUCCCAGCGAGGA